Molecule: long non-coding RNA, 926 nt
Filed under: Strigops habroptila (Kakapo)
Lineage: Eukaryota; Metazoa; Chordata; Aves; Psittaciformes; Psittacidae
Description: lncRNA (ENSSHBG00005018384.1)
Source: RNAcentral
UAAUCCAAUUAAAAUUUUAUUAAUUAUAGCAAGUAGAAUAUGAGCAAAAACAGUGCUGGACGACAGGGGAGUCUGCGCUCCGCCAACUGCCGUCCUGAGCAGUUCAAACAGUCCCUUUUUAUACAUCUUUACUUCCGUGUUCAUGAAGUAGUGGAGGUACUCUGCGCAUGCUUCAGUUGUUGUUAGGGGGUCGUUUUCUGCCUCCUGGUGGUCGUUGAGGCCGAAGUAAGAAGUCUUCCUCCUUUGUCCCAUAGUUGACCCCUCAUUCAUAUGUCCUUAUAUGGGGUUGUUUGUCCUGUUUCUGUCGGUUCCUGGAAGUCUGGCGGUUAUCUCGCGAUUGUGGUUAUCUUAUUUUAGUCAAGCGGUGUCUGGUAGCUGUUUGCAUAAGCGAUUUCACAUCUUUUGUUGCCUAACCUUUACAUUGAGCUUAACAUAAAUCUUAAUAAACAAUAUCCUAGUCCAUAGUUUCUCACAAGAUGCCGAAAAUGAAAGUAACGUCUAAUAAACAACAAUAGGAUAAAAAGAAAAAGGGGGGAUUGUGAGAAACUAUGGACUAGGAUAUUGUUUAUUAAGAUUUAUGUUAAGCUCAAUGUAAAGGUUAGGCAACAAAGAUGUGAAAUCGCUUAUGCAAACAGAAACCCAGACACUGCUUGAGUAAGAUAAGAUAACCACAAUCGCGAGAUAACCGCCAGACUUCCAGGAACCGACAGAAACAGGACAAACAACCCCAGAUAAGGACAUGUGAAUGAGGGGUCAACUAUGGGAUAAAGGAGAAAGACUUCUUAUUUCGGCCUCAACGACCACCAGGAGGUAGAAAACGAUCCCCUAACAACAACUGAAGCAUGCGCAGAGUACCUCCACUACUUCAUGAACACGGAAGUAAAGAUGUAUAAAAAGGGACUGUUUGAACUGCUCAGCACGGCAGU